CACGUAGGGGGCAAGCGUUGUCCGGAUUUAUUGGGCGUAAAGAGCUCGUAGGUGGUUCGAUAAGUCGGGUGUGAAACCUCCAGGCUCAACCUGGAGACGCCACCCGAUACUGUCGUGACUAGAGUCCAGUAGGGGAGCGUGGAAUUCCUGGUGUAGCGGUGAAAUGCGCAGAUAUCAGGAGGAACACCAGCGGCGAAGGCGGCGCUCUGGGCUGGCACUGACACUGAGGAGCGAAAGCGUGGGGAGCGAACAGG
RNAcentral lists this ribosomal RNA (254 nucleotides) under uncultured bacterium. Its description in RNAcentral is "partial 16S ribosomal RNA". It matches the Rfam family "Bacterial small subunit ribosomal RNA", at positions 524 to 776 of the family's 1533-position model. RNAcentral also lists the same sequence under 1 other name. The record is from RNAcentral.